UGCCUACGGGGGGCAGCAGUGGGGAAUAUUGCACAAUGGGGGGAACCCUGAUGCAGCAACGCCGCGUGGGUGAAGAAGUACUCCGGUAUGUAAAGCCCUGUCAGCAGGGAAGAAAAUGACGGUACCUGACCAAGAAGCCCCGGCUAACUACGUGCCAGCAGCCGCGGUAAUACGUAGGGGGCAAGCGUUAUCCGGAUUUACUGGGUGUAAAGGGAGCGUAGACGGCAAGGCAAGUCUGGAGUGAAAGCCCGUGGCCCAACCACGGGAAUGCUUUGGAAACUGUGGUGCUGGAGUGCAGGAGGGGG
Molecule: ribosomal RNA, 305 nt
Filed under: uncultured bacterium
Lineage: Bacteria
Description: bacterial SSU rRNA
Rfam family: Bacterial small subunit ribosomal RNA
Source: RNAcentral